RNAcentral lists this long non-coding RNA (1580 nucleotides) under Salmo salar (Atlantic salmon). RNAcentral describes it as "lncRNA (ENSSSAG00000108824.1)". The record is from RNAcentral. Lineage: Eukaryota; Metazoa; Chordata; Actinopteri; Salmoniformes; Salmonidae.
CGUGUUCUUAGGAAACCGUGCAGUAUUUUUUAUUUUUUUUAAAUGUAUUAUUUCGUACAUUGUUACCCCAGGAAAUCUUACGUUUUAUUACAUACAGCCGGGAAGAACUAUUGGCCAUAUGAGCAACGUCAACUUACCAACAUGGCCCUGAAAGAAGUUCACUGGACUCUUUGUAAACUGGAAACCACAUAUCCUGAGGCUGCAUUUAUUGUAGCUGGAGAUUUUAACAAAGCUAAUGUGAAAAAUAAGGCUCCCUAAAUUCUAUCAGCAUAUCGAUUGUGCUACCAGGGCUGGUACAGUGUUCAGGGUUCUCUCUGAGAGGCCAGUGUUCAGGGUUCUCUCUGAGAGGCCAGUUUGGGACAGUGUUCAGGGUUCUCUCUGAGAGGCCAGUUUGGGACAGUGUUCAGGGUUCUCUCUGAGAGGCCAGUGUUCAGGGUUCUCUCUGAGAGGCCAGUGUUCAGGGUUCUCUCUGAGAGGCCAGAUUGGGACAGUGUUCAGGGUUCUCUCUGAGAGGCCAGUGUUCAGGGUUCUCUCUGAGAGGCCAGUGUUCAGGGUUCUCUCUGAGAGGCCAGUGUUCAGGGUUCUCUCUGAGAGGCCAGUGUUCAGGGUUCUCUCUGAGAGGCCAGUGUUCAGGGUUCUCUCUGAGAGGCCAGUGUUCAGGGUUCUCUCUGAGAGGCCAGUUUGGGACAGUGUUUAGGGUUCUCUCUGAGAGGCCAGUUUGGGACAGUGUUCAGGGUUCUCUCUGAGAGGCCAGUGUUCAGGGUUCUCUCUGAGAGGCCAGUGUUCAGGGUUCUCUCUGAGAGGCCAGUUUGGGACAGUGUUCAGGGUUCUCUCUGAGAGGCCAGUUUGGGACAGUGUUCAGGGUUCUCUCUGAGAGGCCAGUUUGGGACAGUGUUCAGGGUUCUCUCUGAGAGGCCAGUUUGGGACAGUGUUCAGGGUUCUCUCUGAGAGGCCAGUGUUCAGGGUUCUCUCUGAGAGGCCAGUUUGGGACAGUGUUCAGGGUUCUCUCUGAGAGGCCAGUGUUCAGGGUUCUCUCUGAGAGGCCAGUUUGAGACAGUGUUCAGGGUUCUCUCUGAGAGGCCAGUGUUCAGGGUUCUCUCUGAGAGGCCAGAUUGGGCCAGUGUUCAGGGUUCUCUCUGAGAGGCCAGUGUUCAGGGUUCUCUCUGAGAGGCCAGUGUUCAGGGUUCUCUCUGAGAGGCCAGUUUGACGAUGACACGUUGCUUCCUCUCUGGUUUCCUGUGGAACCUCUUCUCUUCACACACAGCUUCCUCUGACACACACACACACACACACACACACACACACACACACACACACGUUAACAGAAAUCUUUAUUAUUUUAUUGAAUCAUUGUUUAACCAGGUGUGUGUGUGUGUGUACCUGUGUCCGGCUGAGUACAGACUGAGGCCAGGCCGAAGAGAGAGAAGAUGAUGAAGGCGAUGAUGAUGAAGGUCGACUCCAGACCAGAGAACGGCAGCUCCAUCUACACAAAUACACACAUUGAUUUGACAUUAUAACUAUAAUGGUAGAUAGAGUUGGAGCUAGGAGCACAAGCAUUUCACUACUCCUGCAAUAGCAUC